This 560-nucleotide ribosomal RNA is filed under the name uncultured bacterium. Its description in RNAcentral is "bacterial SSU rRNA". It matches the Rfam family "Bacterial small subunit ribosomal RNA", at positions 338 to 916 of the family's 1533-position model. The record is from RNAcentral.
CCUACGGGAGGCAGCAGUGGGGAAUCUUGCGCAAUGGGCGAAAGCCUGACGCAGCCAUGCCGCGUGAAUGAUGAAGGUCUUAGGAUUGUAAAAUUCUUUCACCGGGGACGAUAAUGACGGUACCCGGAGAAGAAGCCCCGGCUAACUUCGUGCCAGCAGCCGCGGUAAUACGAAGGGGGCUAGCGUUGCUCGGAAUUACUGGGCGUAAAGGGAGCGUAGGCGGAUAGUUUAGUCAGAGGUGAAAGCCCAGGGCUCAACCUUGGAAUUGCCUUUGAUACUGGCUAUCUUGAGUGUGGGAGAGGUUAGCGGAACUCCGAGUGUAGAGGUGAAAUUCGUAGAUAUUCGGAAGAACACCAGUGGCGAAGGCGGCUAACUGGCCCAUUACUGACGCUGAGGCUCGAAAGCGUGGGGAGCAAACAGGAUUAGAUACCCUGGUAGUCCACGCCGUAAACGAUGAGUGCUAGUUGUCGGCAGGCAUGCCUGUCGGUGACGCAGCUAACGCAUUAAGCACUCCGCCUGGGGAGUACGGUCGCAAGAUUAAAACUCAAAGGAAUUGACGG